Molecule: long non-coding RNA, 911 nt
Filed under: Manihot esculenta (cassava)
Lineage: Eukaryota; Viridiplantae; Streptophyta; Magnoliopsida; Malpighiales; Euphorbiaceae
Description: long non-coding RNA (MESC_LNC000870)
Source: RNAcentral
CAGAAUACUGGUAUGGUAUAAUAAACUAAUUCGACAAAGAUGUGUGUCUAAAAAAUAAAUAUUUGUUAUGAAGAAAAAAUAUUAGUUAUUUACAGAGCUAUCCUUAUUAAGUUUGAUGUCAUCAGGUGGCAGAAACCAAUGAACUAACAUCUAGACAAUCUGACCUCGCACUGCACAAUCAUCCAACCUUUGCUCAACAUCCAUCAAACUCAAUACACAAUUACUGACUUCCCUCACCUUCAAACCCGUAGCUCGAGUAUUUUUCUUGAAUACAGCAAUUAAUCCCAGUACUUGUGCUUCAUUUUUGAAUAACUUUUCAUGAAGUAAUAACCAAAGAAAGCUUCUAAUAUACACUGAGGACCUCUCCAUUUCCAAACUUUUUUCUACAGUAAGUUAGGAUCAUGCCAUGAAAUACUAGCAAGCAUCAAGUAGCUAAAUUGUAUAGCAAAUCUUCAUGAGCUCGAACCAGUCCAAAUCAAAGCAGGAACAAACAGUAAGUGAUAUUGUCUGCUACUUGGUCCAUCAGCGCACAGGCCUGAUGACAGCAUCUUUCAGAAACAGACUGCCCUUAAGCCAAGCAUGUUGCCAUAAUAAGAUCAUCACCAACCCACCAGCAAAUGGUUACGUUGAACAUGAGGAAUAAUAAUUAGCAAGCUCACUCUCAUAAACUUUAUAUUUCGACUUUAGAACUUGAACUCACAGUCCAUACUUAUUCACCAUUAACUCCCAAACUAAUUUUAUCAGGAAAGCCUCAUCAAGCAGCCCCAAAUACCACAACCCUAAUUGCCUCCCAUCUCCUUAGGCUGCUGCACUUGAGCCCACGGAACGAAUGCCAUCUUUCUAAACUAUACUGAAAGAAUCCACAAUUUUUUUUACUAUAAUUCUUCUCCAACUCCUAUAAAUGGGAGAUG